Acanthosepion pharaonis is the source of this 111-nucleotide non-coding RNA. The record is from the annotation of a GenBank genome assembly. NCBI's taxonomy places the organism in Eukaryota, Metazoa, Mollusca, Cephalopoda, Sepiida, Sepiidae.
UGGCCAGGUCACAUUGAAACACCAAUUCUCACACAAUCACUGAAGUUAAGCAAUGUUGAGUCUGGUUAAUACUUAGAUGGUUGACCAUUUGGGAAUAUCAGGUGCUGUAAG